This 864-nucleotide long non-coding RNA is filed under the name Equus asinus (donkey). RNAcentral describes it as "lncRNA (ENSEASG00005024803.1)". The record is from RNAcentral. Lineage: Eukaryota; Metazoa; Chordata; Mammalia; Perissodactyla; Equidae.
GAAUCUCAGGGGUUUUAGAAACACACAAAGAAUAUAAAAUAUUCAAGAAAACACUCCAGAAUCAAAGGGCAUGAGUUUCAGAUUGAAAGGGCCACCAAGGGACCAACACAAUAGGUAUAUCACUGUGAAACUUCUUAACACUGGGGACAAAGGAAUCCUACAAGGUCACACACAAAGAAGGCUCUGGCCUUAACAGCAGCCCUGGAAGCUUGAAGACAAUGGAGCCACGCUAUCAAAGUUCUGAGACAAAGUGACUUCUUAUCUAGAAUUCCACACUUCAUCAAUCAAGGGUUGGACAUUUUCAGACAUGCAAGCUUUCAAAAUAUUUCCCUCUCAUGAACUCUCGGGAAGCUCCUGGAGAAUGUAUGUCAUCAAAAACAGGGAAGAAAGCAAGAAAUGAGAAGACACAGGAAAGAGUGGAAACUAGAGAGUUUCUGCUUCAAGAUGUUGAAACGGAGACUCCAAGAGGAUGGUUUCUGAGCGUGAGUCCUAGCGUCAGCUACCAUCAGCAGCAGCAGCACAGCACGGAGCCAGAUCUCGGGCGCAGACACUCAUGGAGAGGCCACAGUUUAAUCAGCAAGCUGAGGCAAACCGUGUUUCAGGAGAAUUCACAAUAUAAGUGUUCUGUGAUCUAGUAGGCAUCUCUGCUGGAAGGCACAGAGAAACCCUUUGAAGAACUCACAUCUCAUACCAUAGCUUUUGUCAGAACAGCACAGCUCAAUUAACCCAAUCGACCAUCAGCCAUCUAUUGAGUACCUUCUACAGGGUAUCAACCACCCAAUUCCUGUCUUCCUGGAGAUCACACUAGUGGACAGCAUGGACUCACAAACUGACAUAGCUAUAAAAUGUCUCAUACCAUUCUCU